AUGGGACUGCGGCCGAUCAGGCUGUUGGUGGGGUAAAGGCCCACCAAACCAGUAACCGGUACGGGCUUUGAGAGAAGGAGCCCGGAGAUGGACACUGAGACAAGGGUCCAGGUCCUACGGGGCGCAGCAGGCGCGAAACCUUCGCAAUGCGCGCAAGCGCGACGAGGUUAUUCUGAGUGAUUCCCGCUGAGGGAAUCUUUUCUCAGAUCUAAAAAGUCUGGGGAAUAAGGGGAGGGCAAGUCUGGUGUCAGCCGCCGCGGUAAUACCAGCUCCUCGAGUGGUCAGGGCGUUUAUUGGGCCUAAAGCAUCCGUAGCCUGCUCAGUAGGUCUCCUGUUGAAUCCAACGGCUCAACCGUUGGUCUGCAGGAGAUACCGCUGGGCUAGGAGGCGGGAGAGGCGGACGGUACUCCGAGGGUAGGGGUAAAAUCCUUUGAUCCCCGGAAGACCACCAGU
RNAcentral lists this ribosomal RNA (453 nucleotides) under uncultured archaeon. Its description in RNAcentral is "bacterial SSU rRNA". It matches the Rfam family "Archaeal small subunit ribosomal RNA", at positions 209 to 664 of the family's 1478-position model. The record is from RNAcentral.